Molecule: ribosomal RNA, 225 nt
Filed under: uncultured bacterium
Lineage: Bacteria
Description: partial 16S ribosomal RNA
Rfam family: Bacterial small subunit ribosomal RNA
Source: RNAcentral
UAGCCGGACUGAGAGGUUGAACGGCCACAUUGGGACUGAGACACGGCCCAGACUCCUACGGGAGGCAGCAGUGGGGAAUCUUGCACAAUGGGCGAAAGCCUGAUGCAGCAACGCCGCGUGAGGGAAGACGGUUUUCGGAUUGUAAACCUCUGUUUUCGGUGACGAACGAAUGACGGUAACCGAGUAGGAAGCCACGGCUAACUACGUGCCAGCAGCCGCGGUAAU